CAAAGGAGAGGACACGAUUCAGUUGGAUCUUGAAGCAGAGUUCUCGAGUUUGGUUCUUGAUAUUAUAGGGCUUAGUGUGUUCAACUACGACUUCGGCUCUGUCACAAAGAGUCCCCUGUGAUUAAAGUUUUUUUAUUUAUUGGAAUUGUAUAUUAGCAAGCCUGGUCCGUUCCCUUCUUGAAUGUUUCUGCUGUACAUCGCAUGCAGUUUAUGAAAUCUUUUCGAGGCAGAGCAUCAGUCAACUUUCUACUUCCCGUAUUGGAAAUUUCCUCCAGCCAAAUGGAUAGUUCCAAGGCAAAGAAAGUUCCAAACCGAUCUCUAGAUCUCAAAAAAAAAAGCAAAAGAGACAAGACAGGAAACAGAUGCAGAGAAGCUCCAGAAACGUUACUACUCUAAUCUCAAGAGGAUGCAAGUCUUUUAUGGUUCUUGGUCGACAUGCCCUGUGUUGAUAUUGAUGACCGGCAGACAAGAUUAUAUAACUUACUAAUCUUGAGAAAAAAAUUAGGAAAGCUGAAGCGGAGAUUUAUACUGUACUUGGUGAAGGUGCA
Molecule: long non-coding RNA, 548 nt
Organism: Raphanus sativus (radish)
Lineage: Eukaryota; Viridiplantae; Streptophyta; Magnoliopsida; Brassicales; Brassicaceae
Exons: 4
Source: RefSeq, a predicted model, not a curated record